This 466-nucleotide ribosomal RNA is filed under the name uncultured bacterium. RNAcentral's name for it is "partial 16S ribosomal RNA". It matches the Rfam family "Bacterial small subunit ribosomal RNA", at positions 339 to 795 of the family's 1533-position model. The record is from RNAcentral.
CUACGGGGUGCACCAGUCGAGAAUCGUCUACAAUGGGGGAAACCCUGAUAGUGCGACGCCGCGUGAACGAUGAAACCCUUCGGGGCGUAAAGUUCUUUUCUUUGUGAGCAGAUUAUUUAAUGUGAAUAAUGUUUUGUAAUAGAUAUUAGCAAAGGAAUAAGCCACGGCUAACUCCGUGCCAGCAGCCGCGGUAAUACGGGGGUGGCAAGCGUUGUCCGGAAUCACUAGGCGUAAAGGGCAGGUAGGCGGAUUAGUAAGUCAGAUGUUAAAGGCACAGGCUCAACCUGUGUACGGCAUUUGAUACUGUUAAUCUAGAGUUAGGUAUGGGAGGACGGAAUUUCUGGUGUAGCGGUGGAAUGCGCAGAUAUCAGAAAGAACACCAAAGGCGAAGGCAGUUCUCUUGGCCAUAACUGACGCUAAACUGCGAAGGUGUGGGUAUCAAACAGGAUUAGAUACCCUAGUAGUC